Molecule: ribosomal RNA, 1286 nt
Filed under: Clavibacter michiganensis subsp. michiganensis
Lineage: Bacteria; Bacillati; Actinomycetota; Actinomycetes; Micrococcales; Microbacteriaceae
Description: partial 23S ribosomal RNA
Rfam family: Bacterial large subunit ribosomal RNA
Source: RNAcentral
UUCAAGAUUCUAAGGGCAAACGGUGGAUGCCUUGGCAUCUGGAGCCGAAGAAGGACGUAUAAAUCUGCGAUAAGCCUCGGGGAGCUGAUAAUAGAGCUUUGAUCCGAGGAUCUCCGAAUGGGGAAACCCCGCCAGGCCCUUUGGGUGACCUGGUGACUCCCGCCUGAAUAUAUAGGGCGGGUAGAGGGAACGUGGGGAAGUGAAACAUCUCAGUACCCACAGGAAGAGAAAGCAAAAGCGAUUCCGUUAGUAGUGGCGAGCGAAACCGGAAGAGGCCAAACCGAUCAUGUGUGAUAUCCGGUAGGAGUUGCAUGGUCGGGGUUGCGGGACUUUCCGUACAGUUCUACCGAGCUGUGAGGGCAAUGAGCGCGAUAUAGACGAAUGGUCUUGAAAGGCCAGUCAUAGAGGGUGCGAACCCCGUAGUCGAAAUGUCGUCGCCUGUCCGGAGAGUAUCCCAAGUAGCACGGGGCCCGAGAAAUCCCGUGUGAAUCUGUCAGGACCACCUGAUAAGCCUAAAUACUCCCAGAUGACCGAUAGCGGACAAGUACCGUGAGGGAAAGGUGAAAAGUACCCCGGGAGGGGAGUGAAAUAGUACCUGAAACCGUUUGCUUACAAACCGUUGGAGCGCCCUUGUUGGUGUGACAGCGUGCCUUUUGAAGAAUGAGCCUGCGAGUUAGUGAUAUGUGGCGAGGUUAACCCGUGAGGGGCAGUCGUAGCGAAAGCGAGUCUUAAUAGGGCGUAUGAGUCGCAUGUUCUAGACCCGAAGCGAAGUGAUCUAUCCAUGGCCAGGUUGAAGCGACGGUAAGACGUCGUGGAGGACCGAACCCACUUCAGUUGAAAAUGGAGGGGAUGAGCUGUGGAUAGGGGUGAAAGGCCAAUCAAACUUCGUGAUAGCUGGUUCUCUCCGAAAUGCAUUUAGGUGCAGCGUUGCGUGUUUCUUGCCGGAGGUAGAGCUACUGGAUGGACGAUGGGCCCCAAAAGGUUACUGACUUCAGCCAAACUCCGAAUGCCGGUAAGUGAGAGCGCAGCAGUGAGACGGUGGGGGAUAAGCUUCAUCGUCGAGAGGGAAACAACCCAGACCACCAUCUAAGGUCCCUAAGCGCGUGCUAAGUGGGAAAGGAUGUGGAGUUGCAUAGACAACCAGGAGGUUGGCUUAGAAGCAGCCACCCUUGAAAGAGUGCGUAAUAGCUCACUGGUCAAGUGAUUCCGCGCCGACAAUGUAACGGGGCUCAAGCACGCCACCGAAGUUGUGGCAUUUAUAUUAUAGGCAGGCCUUCGUGGUCCAG